RNAcentral lists this non-coding RNA (77 nucleotides) under Fischerella muscicola PCC 7414. Its description in RNAcentral is "CyVA-1 RNA". It matches the Rfam family "CyVA-1 RNA". From Rfam's summary of the family: Cyanobacteria, Acidobacteria (1 example), Verrucomicrobia (1 example). Lineage: Bacteria; Bacillati; Cyanobacteriota; Cyanophyceae; Nostocales; Hapalosiphonaceae. The record is from Rfam by way of RNAcentral.
GCACUGGCAGAACGUUUUACCGUUGUGGUUCUUUGCUGCUUCUGGAAAGAAAGCGACAUGACAGAAGUAGACAGUGU